This 404-nucleotide ribosomal RNA is filed under the name uncultured bacterium. RNAcentral describes it as "bacterial SSU rRNA". It matches the Rfam family "Bacterial small subunit ribosomal RNA", at positions 355 to 775 of the family's 1533-position model. The record is from RNAcentral.
UGGGGAAUCUUGCACAAUGGGCGAAAGCCUGAUGCAGCGACGCCGCGUGCGGGACGAAGGCCCUCGGGUUGUAAACCGCUUUCAGUGGGAACGAUGAUGACGGUACCCACAGAAGAAGCUCCGGCUAACUACGUGCCAGCAGCCGCGGUAAUACGUAGGGGGCGAGCGUUGUCCGGAUUUAUUGGGCGUAAAGAGCUCGUAGGUGGUUGGGCAAGUCGGGUGUGAAAUCUUCAGGCUUAACCUGGAGAGGCCACUCGAUACUGCCCUGACUUGAGUCCGGUAGGGGAGUGUGGAAUUCCUGGUGUAGCGGUGAAAUGCGCAGAUAUCAGGAGGAACACCCGUGGCGAAGGCGGCACUCUGGGCCGGUACUGACACUGAGGAGCGAAAGCGUGGGUAGCGAACAG